GCUGUAUUUUCAGGGGUCACUGUGCAAUUACCCCAAACUGGUGUUUAAACAAUACAGGGUGAGGCUGACACCCCCACUUUGAUGGGAGUUGCCCCGGGACCUCCAGGGCUGCCGGGGGUCAGGGCAUCGCCAGUCACCUUCCCUGCACCUUCCUGCAGCUCUUCCCCACUCCCACGGCCUCUCGUGAUAGAUCGCAUGCUGAAAUGACGCCAGGCUCCGAGAGGCAGCAGUUCUUGUUUGAUAAUCUUAUUUCCCGCUAAGCAGAAGCCAAACGCUAAGAGCAGUUUCCAUAGUAUGCAUGUGCUCCCGUGCAUUUAUUUCCUCGCCCCCCUCACCCUCCAGCCAGCAGACCCGCAGCAGCGCGCAGGGAUGCGGCUGCAAGCAGCCGUGCCCGGCACCGCUCCGCCGUGACUGCUGCUCCCGGAGGGUGAGACAACCGUCCCCUCUCCAGACGCGAGUCCUGGGCUCUGCCGUCGCUGGCACCCCGAGCGGAGGUGGUGGUUGCACCUGAAGGUAACACCACAUUUGGGAAGUGGCAAGUCUAGGGAGCCUGCGAGGGUCAGAGGCUCAAGAAAUUUGGGCUUAGAAAAGGCUAUCUGAAUUGUACAAGCGUGUGCAAGUCCACUGUUCUGUUAAGGGCAAAAAAAGAAAAAAACCAACAACAUAGUUUAUCUGGCUCUUAAAGGGGUGCUUGCUGUUCACUUUGAAGGUGCCUCUUCACCCCUCCUCCUCCACCCAAAUCAUCAGACGUUUGCUAGGAGAGCUAGGAUUCAUGGGCAGGGGUGCCUGGUGUCCCACUGGGAGCUGCGUCUCCAGUGCACCCGGAGUGGGUCGGCUGGACCCGAGAGGGUCUCUUGUACAAAACCAAGCACGUGGCCGGAUUGUAACUGGAGCCUGGCAGUGGUCUCGGUUGGAGCCUGCAGGGCAUGGGACAUGGGAUUUGGGAUACGGGAUACGGGACGUUGCAGCUGCCCCCCAGGAUGCAUGUGCCACCGGUCGCCCUCCUCAGGCACACGGCGGUCUUCAAAGCCUUUGCCAAGCGCCUGAAAAUGGAUGGACUCUGGCCCAGCACCACGUGAACUGCCUGACCCAGACAGCCAGGUCUCGGUGGGACAGCAGGCUCCCAGCCUACACCGCUGUCGGCUGUGCCAGCAAAUGCCGCUCCUCGCCCCCGAAAACUGCACAGCCGCUUCCCACGGCAAACAAUCCCUAGGAAAUUGUAUCUGUCCUCUAUGGAGGAAAAUCACCCAGCAUCCUCCAACCCUGCAAGUUCAGCAAAUGGAGGCAAAUAUUUGCAGGCAAAAAAAGACUCAAGGGGAAGAGCCCAAACUGACCACUGCCGGACAAAGCUGUGGCUCACGCAAAUAUGGGCUGGCUGAGAAAUGGAUGGAAGCAUUUGCGGUUUGGUUGGGUUCCUGUGCUAAUUAAGGGCCACAUCCAGCAUCUUGAAGCUGGUGAAAACCACCCAGCUGAAAGGAGGUUGAUUUCUGCAGGGAAGGGGCAGUGGCACUUCCAAAACGACCCCAGAAUUUUCCCUGCAACAGGUAGACACGGCCCCGGAGGGGAGAAAAAACCUGGGAGUGCAGAGGAGCGGGAAAGGUCCUUCCUAAGUGCUAAGUUCUGUUAUUUUUUUACUUUCUGACUUGGCAUCAAAGGAGAAAACAAAUAUUUUAAAAGGUGCUUGAAAUUCUGAUUUUGGUCUCUUCUGAGUGCUUCAUUGGAAGCACGCUGAAAUAAGAGGAGAGAGACUGAAAUAAAACCGCCGCAGCUAUUAUCCUUAUGGGCCUUGUGACUUAGCCCUAACUCCUCAUUACAACUAUGCUCUGAGCUGCUAACUGCUAUCUAAGCCAAACCAAAGAUGCCAAAUAUAAAGACAAAUUGCUGCAAGCUCUAAUUGCCCCGGCUGGGCGGGCGCAGGUGCUGUGCACGGCCGAGCCCCCGCACGUCCCCCGCUGCUCCCCUUCCACCUCCCUGAGCAUCUUGGCUUGUUCGUGCCAUUUAGCCAAGGGGAAAUGCAGAUAAAGCAGACACAGAGGUAAGAGCUCCCCGUCAGCGCUGUGCCCGAGGACAGGGGUCCUGGGCACCGCAGGGCUUCGGCUCGAGGAGCAGCGGGCAGGAGCCGAGCCAUGCAGCUGACGGGGAAUAAAGUGGAAGGAGCCGUAGCCAGCUGCAUGAUGAGCUGCCUCGGUUGGGAGGAAGAUCAAGGUCUCAGGAGUGGGAGGAAGGCCAAAGUCAUUUGGGGAGCUUGGGAGGGAAAGUCUAUCCCCUGGGCUGGGGUGGAGCUGGGAAGGAAAGUUUAUCCAAAGGACUUGCAAAGCUCUGGGUCUGGCUGGAGACCUCGGUGGACCCGAACUCUCUCCAGCCCUAAUCCAAAGUGCAUGUUCCUGCGCAUCCCGAGUGCUCGGAGCGGCGGCUCCGGCGGCCAGAGGAAGUGGGGCCGAGCCGGUGUUGCGGGGAGAACAAUUGGACAUUGUGCUGCCUUAUCGCCACCGAGCCCAGUCCUGCCCUUAGGAACCGAUUAAACUUUAGACCCCUGUUUGUGCAGAUUCUUCCCGUACAUCUCACGCGCUCUCCAAGGCGAUCGCCGCAGGGGUUGAGAGCUGCCUGGGCUCCCCGUUACCGUUGUUCGCAGCCCAUCUCCCAGCCAGCGCGUCGGGUCCGGCAGCCCAUGGGGACAGGGGUGAUGCUGGGGUGCUCGCACGCAGCUUUCACUGGAGCAGGGAGCAAACCCGGGAGCCGGGGAGUGGCGAGGUGAUGCUCCCCCCGGGACGGCCACGGCAGCCAUCCGGAGGGCUGCUGACGGGGCCGGUGGGGUGCGCUGGGAGGUACUGGUACCUCUGAGCGAUGGGCAGGGUGGGGGGGGCGGCAGCUCACGCACGAGACCCUGAGGCACCUUCGACGUGUCACCCACACGGCAGCAGCACCCUGGGCCACAUGGGUCUCAGCCGGUGCUCGGCCUCCGAAGCCCCCGUGCAAGGCAAGGGGCACGUGCCCAAAGCGGGGGGCUGAGCCGGCUCGGGGUGCGUCUGUGCAAACGGCACGGGCACGGAGCAGGCUGUCGCUGGGUGUCCGGCCAGGAAACCAGGCAAGUCGUACAAAAUUAAUUUAACCCGCUUUGCUUCCAUCUUGUCUUGUUCAACCAUUGCUUUUACUCAUUUUCUUCUUACCUCCCUCACCAGCACUUCCCAGCCUGGAUCCUGACCCCUCCCUGCUGGCUUGCAUGGCCCCGACUGAAAUGACCCAUCCCAAAUACUGCUGGGACCGGGGGACACCAGAACAGCCCGGGGAGCCACGGCUCCAGAGCCGGAGGAGGAGGAGGCGAUGCUCAGCGCUUACCCCUUUGGGCAGGAAAAGGUCUGAGGGAGCAGAGGUUGGCUACGCACAAUUACUUUUAGUAAGAUCUGAACGUACAGAAUCCUAUGCGAGUCAAAAAAUAUUUUUCAGUAGGACUUGGGUGUCUGGCUAGAGUAGGCCCAAGGACUUUUUUUUUUUUUAAGGAAACAUUUUUUUUUUUUUCAUCAGAAACGAACCAUUUUAUAGUGCUGUGUCAUUUCAACAAACUUCCUAUUUGUUUGGGUUUUUUUAAUGGUCCAAAUAUUGCAUUUUGCUAUUUAAAAUGUGGGUUUUUUAUAUUCCGAUUCAAAUUCUGAUCCGGGCUUCUGCCCAAAGCUUUAGGUUAAUUCGCAGUAAUUCCCAGACUGCCCUUUGGAAUAACACUCGUGCUCUUUGCAGCCUUCCUCUCCCCCGGCA
This is an RNA transcript of Harpia harpyja (harpy eagle), 3750 nucleotides long. RefSeq lists it as uncharacterized. The transcript is spliced from 2 exons. NCBI's taxonomy places the organism in Eukaryota, Metazoa, Chordata, Aves, Accipitriformes, Accipitridae. The record is from RefSeq and is a predicted model, not a curated record.